This 87-nucleotide ribosomal RNA is filed under the name Leishmania infantum. Its description in RNAcentral is "partial 5.8S ribosomal RNA". It matches the Rfam family "5.8S ribosomal RNA", at positions 1 to 87 of the family's 154-position model. Rfam says of the family: 5.8S ribosomal RNA (5.8S rRNA) is a component of the large subunit of the eukaryotic ribosome. Lineage: Eukaryota; Euglenozoa; Kinetoplastea; Trypanosomatida; Trypanosomatidae. The record is from RNAcentral.
AACGUGUCGCGAUGGAUGACUUGGCUUCCUAUUUCGUUGAAGAACGCAGUAAAGUGCGAUAAGUGGUAUCAAGGUGGCUGUCGGUGA